AUUGAACGCUGGCGGCAUGCCUUACACAUGCAAGUCGAACGGCAGCACGGGGGCAACCCUGGUGGCGAGUGGCGGACGGGUGAGUAAAGCAUCGGAACGUAUCCUGGAGUGGGGGGAUAACGUAGCGAAAGUUACGCUAAUACCGCAUAUUCUGUGAGCAGGAAAGCAGGGGAUCGCAAGACCUUGCGCUCUGGGAGCGGCCGAUGUCGGAUUAGCUAGUUGGUGGGGUAAAGGCCUACCAAGGCGACGAUCCGUAGCGGGUCUGAGAGGACGACCAGCCACACUGGAACUGAGACACGGUCCAGACUCCUACGGGAGGCAGCAGUGGGGAAUUUUGGACAAUGGGCGCAAGCCUGAUCCAGCCAUGCCGCGUGAGUGAAGAAGGCCUC
Molecule: ribosomal RNA, 389 nt
Filed under: uncultured bacterium
Lineage: Bacteria
Description: bacterial SSU rRNA
Rfam family: Bacterial small subunit ribosomal RNA
Source: RNAcentral